Molecule: ribosomal RNA, 396 nt
Filed under: uncultured bacterium
Lineage: Bacteria
Description: bacterial SSU rRNA
Rfam family: Bacterial small subunit ribosomal RNA
Source: RNAcentral
GACGAACGCUGGCGGCGUGCUUAACACAUGCAAGUCGAGCGGUAAGGCCCUUUCGGGGGUACACGAGCGGCGAACGGGUGAGUAACACGUGGGUGACCUGCCCUCAGCUCUGGGAUAAGCCUGGGAAACCGGGUCUAAUACCGGAUAUGACUCCAUGACGCAUGUUGUGGGUGGAAAGCCUUGUGCGGCUGAGGAUGGGCCCGCGGCCUAUCAGCUUGUUGGUGGGGUGAUGGCCUACCAAGGCGACGACGGGUAGCCGGCCUGAGAGGGCGACCGGCCACACUGGGACUGAGACACGGCCCAGACUCCUACGGGAGGCAGCAGUGGGGAAUCUUGCGCAAUGGGCGAAAGCCCGACGCAGCGACGCCGCGUGAGGGAUGACGGCCUCGGUUGUAA